Non-coding RNA from Neoarius graeffei (lesser salmon catfish), 500 nucleotides. NCBI's taxonomy places the organism in Eukaryota, Metazoa, Chordata, Actinopteri, Siluriformes, Ariidae. The record is from the annotation of a RefSeq genome assembly.
CUGUAUAAACAGUGUUGAUUGUCAUUCUGAUGCACACUAUUGACAGAGUGGAAGCCUGGAGAACACUUGACAAGAUGGCUAAAAUUAUUGUCCCAAGUAUAAUUCUGAUUAGUUUUAAAGCUGCAGUUAUCUCUUCCCUCAACAUCCAGCAAACACCGCAACAUUUAAUGACACCUAAAGACAGCGAAGCAAAGCUCAAAUGCCGACAUGGUGAUAACAGCUAUUUCAACAUGUACUGGUUUCAACAAAAGACAGUCAGUGAGUCCAUGGAGCUCAUUGGGAUGCUCCAGUCUCAAAGAUCCACUCCUGAGGAAAAGUUUAAAGCACGAUUCAACAUUACAGGACAAGCCACAGGCGAUGCGUUUCUGCUCAUAUCCAGUCCAACUCCUGAUGACAGUGCAGUAUAUUUCUGUGCUGCUAGUAACACAGCCACACAUCUUCCCUUUCUGUUUAACAAAAACCUUCACACCAAACACCUGCAAAUAAGAUCUGUUCUCUGA